GACGAACGCUGGCGGCGUGCUUAACACAUGCAAGUCGAACGAUGAAGCCCAGCUUGCUGGGUGGCUUAGUGGCGAACGGGUGAGUAACACGUGAGCAACGUGCCCGAAACUCUGGAAUAACUACCGGAAACGGUGGCUAAUACUGGAUAUGUGCCAGGGAGGCAUCUCCUCUGGUUGGAAAGAUUUUUCGGUUUCGGAUCGGCUCACGGCCUCUCAGCUUGUUGGUGGGGUCAUGGCCUACCAAGGCGACGACGGGUAGCCGGCCUGAGAGGGUGACCGGCCACACUGGGACGGAGAUACGGCCCAGACUCCUACGGGAGGCAGCAGUGGGGAAUAGUGCACAAUGGGCGCAAGCCUGAUGCAGCAACGCCGCGUGAGGGAUGACGGCCUUCGGGUUGUAAACCUCUUUUAGUAGGGAAGAAGCGCAAGUGACGGUACCUGCAGAAAAAGCACCGGCUAACUACGUG
RNAcentral lists this ribosomal RNA (467 nucleotides) under uncultured bacterium. RNAcentral's name for it is "partial 16S ribosomal RNA". It matches the Rfam family "Bacterial small subunit ribosomal RNA", at positions 28 to 507 of the family's 1533-position model. The record is from RNAcentral.